Molecule: ribosomal RNA, 490 nt
Filed under: uncultured bacterium
Lineage: Bacteria
Description: partial 16S ribosomal RNA
Rfam family: Bacterial small subunit ribosomal RNA
Source: RNAcentral
AUUGAACGCUGGCGGCAGGCCUAACACAUGCAAGUCGAACGGUAACAGGAAGAAGCUUGCUUCUUUGCUGACGAGUGGCGGACGGGUGAGUAAUGUCUGGGAAACUGCCUGAUGGAGGGGGAUAACUACUGGAAACGGUAGCUAAUACCGCAUAACGUCGCAAGACCAAAGAGGGGGACCUUCGGGCCUCUUGCCAUCGGAUGUGCCCAGAUGGGAUUAGCUAGUAGGUGGGGUAACGGCUCACCUAGGCGACGAUCCCUAGCUGGUCUGAGAGGAUGACCAGCCACACUGGAACUGAGACACGGUCCAGACUCCUACGGGAGGCAGCAGUGGGGAAUAUUGCACAAUGGGCGCAAGCCUGAUGCAGCCAUGCCGCGUGUAUGAAGAAGGCCUUCGGGUUGUAAAGAACUUUCAGCGGGGAGGAAGGGAGUAAAGUUAAUACCUUUACUCAUUGACGUUACCCGCAGAAGAAGCACCGGCUAACUCCGUG